CGAAAAUUGGAGUAAUGUAGCGGACGCUACGUAUACGAACAUCGUGGGGAACGCAAGCCGCGUCGUUCGUACGCGCUUGCCGAGGGAAUAUCGCGAAGUGGGAAUACUGCGCGUUACGCAACCGAGAGAAAGACAAAUAAACACGCGCGUAUGGUGUCAUGUGAGUCAUCGCGCGUUAAGAUAGUUGGCGCAGAUAGCGAAAGUAAGACGCAAUAUGCUGGCGCGCGCGCUUGCUUUUCGCGAUAAUUGGCGACGAGAAGACGGGGCGUCGACUCGCGAAACGGAUUUCGAGGCCGAGCGAUCGAACGUUGACGAAAGGAUCAACUUACGCGAAUGGCCCCCUGCGAGCAGAGCGUCGAACGUUUUCAAGAAGAAAAGUUUAAGAUAAAAAUGCUCGGCAGUGCUGCUUGUGAGUAAUUCACCCGGAAACGUCGUUAAAGCCUAUGAAUAUAGCAAUGCAUGUCUAAAAGACAACUUAAUGCCGUCUUAAUUACUUGGCGACCAACUCGUCGAAUAAUAUCUACAUCACCAUUCAAACAUUUGGAAGUAGUCAUGUUUUUCAGUUAAACAAAAAAUUAUAUGUUAAUAUUGUUCAAAGAAAUCGUCUGUAAUAAAAAUUUGUCAUACGUUUCGUUUACUUUGUAGAAAACAUAUUUCUUUCUAAUCACGUCUCUCAAAAAUUCUUUGCUUCAUCGCAUUGAAUGUACGACUGCAUCCAAACUUUUGAACAAUAUUUAUUAAUCAUUUUGUUAAUAUGGGUAGAAUUAUUAAUAACACAAAGAAACGCCUUGGACAGUCAGGCUGGAUCUCGGUGCUGAAUGGUAUUUCUCGCAUUUCUUCUUUUGCAACACACCAAACUAUAUACGCGCCGAUGAUUUUCGAUAUUGAAACAGUCUGAAUUGAAGUCGAAAUAGUGUACAUAAUUAAAUUUAUAAUCAAUUUAAUGAUUGAAGAAUGAUUAGGAAAUUAUUAAUAUUUUAAUAUACAAGACAAAAUGACGCAUUAUACCAUCUUCUGUUUUGCAUAUUAAGCUAGAAGUAUUGUGUAUAUUUGUAUCAUUUUGGUUGUGCGACCUUGCCGGUCGAAUUAGUCAAGUACAACAUUCGGAGCUUAAUUAGAAUCCUCAAUCUUAAUUUAUUUUAUAUAUUCUAUCAGGCAGGUGUAUCAAUGCGAGUGCGUGUUAUAUUACAUUUACAUUGUUAAGUAGGAAAUUAUAAUAUUGAUGUUAUGUGACUGUUACUUGGUAUUUACUGGGUAUAUGUAGAUACUGUUAUCUCUGUACGAGCCAGAUAUUGAAAAUCUCAGUGAAAUAAUUUAACGCGCUAAUAUUUAGUCAUUGAACGACGCAAUGUUGAAAGCAUGAUCGCCCUGGCGAAAAUAAUAUGUUUAUAAGAAGUUUGUUUAAAUGUUGAGUCAAUGUUUUGAGUUUUAAAACAUUUAUUGAAUUGUUUGUGAGAUAUAAAUUUAAACAUGAAGUUGUUUAUGACAUGUUCACGGUUACAAGUGUUCAAAUUGCGUUUAAUGAUACAAUGUCAAACGUUUCAAUUAUAGUUUUCUAAGUGUUUGUACAAUGUUAUUGUCAGUAAAGAAUUAACCAGGUGUUUGCAACGUAUUUCUAAACAGUGUAACCGUCAAUAAAACUCUUCAUAAA
Molecule: long non-coding RNA, 1651 nt
Organism: Vollenhovia emeryi
Lineage: Eukaryota; Metazoa; Arthropoda; Insecta; Hymenoptera; Formicidae
Exons: 3
Source: RefSeq, a predicted model, not a curated record